AAAUUUUACAUUCUCCAAAAAGUUUGAGCCAAAAGUUUUUCCGAAAACUCAAGUUAUGGCUUCAACCAUUACUACAAACAAACCCACAUACUUACUACUUUUGAUUUGGAAGCGUCGCCUUCAACUCCUUACAACUCCUUCAUAUAAACUCCAAAAGCAAUAAUUCUUUCGUGAAAUAUGUAGGCCUUGAAAUCGCUGUUCCAGUCGCACCUUCCGAUCUUCAAAAGCUGCUGUAAAACUCAUCGUACUCUCAAAAGAGUAACAGUAUGUCUUAAAUAAACACCUUAACUUCAAACGGAUAUAACUUUUUCACCCUAACUCCAAAUCCUUUA
RNAcentral lists this long non-coding RNA (332 nucleotides) under Physcomitrium patens. Its description in RNAcentral is "long non-coding RNA (PPAT_LNC005623)". The record is from RNAcentral. Lineage: Eukaryota; Viridiplantae; Streptophyta; Bryopsida; Funariales; Funariaceae.